This 491-nucleotide ribosomal RNA is filed under the name uncultured bacterium. RNAcentral describes it as "partial 16S ribosomal RNA". It matches the Rfam family "Bacterial small subunit ribosomal RNA", at positions 29 to 507 of the family's 1533-position model. The record is from RNAcentral.
GUGAACGCUGGCGGUAGGCCUAACACAUGCAAGUCGAACGGCAGCACAGUAGGAGCUUGCUCUUACGGGUGGCGAGUGGCGGACGGGUGAGGAAUACAUCGGAAUCUACUUUUUCGUGGGGGAUAACGUAGGGAAACUUACGCUAAUACCGCAUACGACCUACGGGUGAAAGCAGGGGAUCUUCGGACCUUGCGCGAUUGAAUGAGCCGAUGUCGGAUUAGCUAGUUGGCGGGGUAAAGGCCCACCAAGGCGACGAUCCGUAGCUGGUCUGAGAGGAUGAUCAGCCACACUGGAACUGAGACACGGUCCAGACUCCUACGGGAGGCAGCAGUGGGGAAUAUUGGACAAUGGGCGCAAGCCUGAUCCAGCCAUACCGCAUGGGUGAAGAAGGCCUUCGGGUUGUAAAGCCCUUUUGUUGGGAAAGAAAAGCAGCAGGUUAAUACCCCGCUGUUCUGACGGUACCCAAAGAAUAAGCACCGGCUAACUUCGUG